GAGAGAAGAGAAAAAAGAAAAAAAGAAAAAAAAGGAAAUUCAAUUUAGGUUGAAGUGGGGCAUAACAAUAAUACAUUUAAAACCAAAAACUGGAUGCCGCACCCACACAAAACAUAAUAAAGCAAUACUUGUUUUAUCCUCCCUUGACCUUCCAUUGCUCAACUUUUUUUCACUUAAUUCUCACUGCACAUAUUUUGGUUAAAAUUGGGGUCUCACUUGCCCUCACUGCGGUUAAGAUUGGGGUCACUCCUGCCCUCCAUAAACUGUGCGUGUACAUAUAAGCAAAUGUGGUUAAGGUCAGGGUUAGGAUAGGAUGAAGGUAUAAUUGUAUUAUCACCAACACAUUAGAGAAUUGCUUUGUCAUGCUAGUGUAAAUAACCAACAUCCAAAAGGAAUAACCCUCUACUUAUUAAUCUAUUUAACCCAAGUUUCAAUGCCUGCCCUCCAUAACUUCAACAAUGUGUUUUCACAAACAAAUUGUGGUUAAAAUCAAAAUUAGGGUUAAGGUUAAGGUUAGGGUUAGGGUUAGGAUUCAGACAUGUACUUACAAAAUUAAGGCAACAACAAGCGUGCUAAAAUUGUGGCCCACAGAUGGGCACCUCUGAAUCGAGGCGGCGCUGGCUAGCCAGGAUCAAAAUCAGGAUUCCGUCCCCGAAACAGGGACGGAGGUGCACGGGCACUCCCUCGACCAAAAGACCCUCCAAAAAUUAGGAUAUAUUAGAAGCCUAAAUAAGUAACUUCUUCUUGUUGUAACAAAAAUUUGUUUGGCCAAAAAAUGAAAUAACAUGCUCUGUCGCGACGUUUCGAUCCGUAUUGAUCUUCCUCAGGCGUAAGAGCAUGUACUGAGAGGUAUGAAAACUGUAGAAAAAUUGUCCUUGUCCAAGGGUUGCAAAUUGCAGUCAUUGCCUGGACAGGUCUGAACAUGCCUCAACUCGGUGUGGAAAUGAGAAGCAAAAGACAGAGGCUCCUUUUAUAGGGGUAAGACUCCGCCCCUGCAUGAAACAGCAAAACUUGCAUUGACUUAUUUUUAAAAAAGAAAAAAAGAAAAGAAAAAAGAAAAAAGAUAAAAAAAA
Long non-coding RNA from Thalassophryne amazonica, 1073 nucleotides. RefSeq lists it as uncharacterized. The transcript is spliced from 2 exons. The record is from RefSeq and is a predicted model, not a curated record. Lineage: Eukaryota; Metazoa; Chordata; Actinopteri; Batrachoidiformes; Batrachoididae.